CAGUAGCCGCGGUAAUACGUAGGUGGCAAGCGUUGUCCGGAAUUACUGGGCGUAAAGCGCACGUAGGCGGAUCAGAGAGUCAGAGGUGAAAUCCCAGGGCUCAACCUUGGAACUGCCUUUGAAACUCCUGAUCUUGAGGUCGAGAGAGGUGAGUGGAAUUCCGAGUGUAGAGGUGAAAUUCGUAGAUAUUCGGAGGAACACCAGUGGCGAAGGCGGCUCACUGGCUCGAUACUGACGCUGAGGUGCGAAAGCGUGGGGAGCAAACAGGAUUAGAUACCCCAGUAGUCCCUGUCUCUUAUAC
Molecule: ribosomal RNA, 301 nt
Filed under: uncultured bacterium
Lineage: Bacteria
Description: partial 16S ribosomal RNA
Rfam family: Bacterial small subunit ribosomal RNA
Source: RNAcentral